Molecule: long non-coding RNA, 3167 nt
Organism: Anarrhichthys ocellatus (wolf-eel)
Lineage: Eukaryota; Metazoa; Chordata; Actinopteri; Perciformes; Anarhichadidae
Exons: 3
Source: RefSeq, a predicted model, not a curated record
CGUGUGCGCCUGUAAGGAAUCCGCGCGACCGGUUCUCGAAAGGCGUUUUUUUUUUUUAAGCGAAGACGCCGCAGACCGACCGGGGGGGGUUGCAGGCAGCCCCGAGACCGACGCUCCCUCUCCCGGACUGACAGGCCAAUCGCAGGCCACCGCUCGCCCUCCCUCCAUCCACAGUGCUGUCUCUCUUUCUCUCUCUCUCUCUCUCUCUCUCUCUCUCUCUCUCUCUCUCUCUCUCACUAACUCGCACUCCCUCCUCUCUCUUUCUCUCUCACUCUGGUUUUCAUUCCUUUACGUUCAAUCCGUGCAUCCCCUCCUCCUCCUCCUCCUCCUCCUCCUCCUCACACCUUUUGGUCAGAAGAGGAAGAGGAAGCCCAGCCCAGGGAGAGACGCUGAGAGGAUGAAACUCUGACACGCCGACAGACCACAGGGAAACAAGAGCACAACUAUAAUUGCUAGAAGGCAGCGCCCGGGAAGGUCAGCCAAGAAGCCCGCCGUAGGUGCCAAAGUGAAAUCUACAGGACUACAAUUACUUGGACAGACUGAGGCGGCAGAGCAAAGUGAAUGACAGAAACUGAUUGGCGUCGACAUUGGACUUCACUCUCGGCAUCGGCAACAAGUGAUUCCUGCUCCUCCCACCACCUCCAUCCUCUGACAGGUAGGAUGACAAACCUUCAUAACUGAUGGAUAACGAUAUAUGUACAUGUUCAUGUUGGAGCAGUGAGCCUACGGGGAAAACAAUACUUACUUAAUAUACAGUAUCUUUCAGAGGGUUACUAAAUUACAUAACACAAAAUAUCCAACAGACCCCACUGUUGAGAAACAAUAAUAAGGGGACGAAAGAAAUCAGCACAACUGCGUGAACUGUUAAAAUGCAGGAUUCAAUGAUGUAAUCGUUUUCUACUCGGAGAACUAAGUAUAAAAAGUGAAGCAGCUCAUUUGCCAGGGCUGAGACCAGCUAAAUGUUCAAAAUGAAUAGAUAUCUUGUGCAGUACGCUGCCUCUGUACCAUCUCAUUAUUCAGCUCAUCUUCUAAUUAGAAGAUGUCUCAGCAGAUCUCUAAAUGCCAUAUUGACUAAAGUUACAAACCACCGGACAACAAAGGAAUCCCAUUGUUCUUCUCUUUGCCAUUUUGUGUAAUGAGCCUCUGUUUUCCCUCUGCACCUCUGUGUGGAGAGACGCUUUCUUCUUGUCAGCUCGUUCCCCGUGCAGACGGUUAAAAGACAUCCGAAAACACACUCGUUGGAAUGAUAAUCUCGAUGCGCGUCUGCACUUAUGGAGAAUAUCUGGAAGCAUGUCAGACGUGCAUCAAAGCCGUUGUUGUAAUUUUCUUUUCAAGGGCAACUUGAAAGAGGAGUCGGGGAAAAGGAGAGUGGCGUUGGUUUCUUGUUUUCUCCUACGAGGCAGCUCGUUCAAAAGUAAGCCGGGAUGAUUCAGCAGGAAGCCAACAGCCGUCUGACUGAUUCACAUUUAAACAUAAACAGAAGUACGGACGCUCCAGGGAGCUCCGCGGAGGAAUGGAGAGCUAGACCCAAAUUUCACAGCAGCAAAUCAAAACCCGCCUUUUUAUUUGACUCUUCCUUUCUGUUUCCCCCUUUUUUCAAUCCGUGGCUCCCCGUAGCACUGUGCACACAUAACAGCGCCUACUGAUUGGGCUUAUUUGAAGCACGUACCCUGACCAGAAAUAAAAAAGGAGAAGAGGAGAUUUUCCCAUGUCACAACGGGAUUGAAUGUGGUUCUCCAGAAGAGGAGGGCCUGAGAGGAUUAUAUGGCUCAGUGGGUGCUGUAUUGUGUGGGGAGUGGAUACAGCAGGUACCCGCCGAAUCCCAGCCAAGAGACAGACACAGUGUUGCUAGGGAUAAUGUUGCCUCCUAGCAAUUAAACUCUGGAGGUUUUGGAGUGGUUUAGGAGGAAGCUUAUUAAAUGAUCCUCUCUCUCUCUCUCUCUCUCUCUCUCUCUCUCUCUCUUCUCCCCCCCCCGUUUUCUUCCCCUUUCACUGGACGUACACCAACAAGGGAAGUCAUUUGAAUUGACUUGAAUACUUAAUUGAAUCCUCCCCAGAUUUUCCCAUCACACAUAGAUUACACACACACACACACACACACACUGAGACAUGAAGGCAAACUGCAUCCACACACUCGCUCUGUUGAGGUGAGGUGAGAAAUGCCAAAAGCUGCCAGUUGAUGGCAGUUUUGAAUUAGAAACAUAGAAGCUUUUUAAAAAAAACUAAAAAAGGCAGUGAAACUCAAACAGUCAUAAUAAUCUGAAUUGAAUGCUUUGUAUUCAGAAUCCAGUCGCUCUCUUUGUAGCAUCACUUUUCACUAAUAAUUAGCAGCUUAUUUGUGAGGUAGAACGUGUUUGAGGAUAACAGUCGAUGAGGAUUCAAGGACUGCAUUCAUAUUGUAAUUCACAGCAUAGACUUGUGUAGGACCCUCAUUGCAGCGACAUACAUUAUGUUGGCAGUACAAUACGCCUCCUAUGUGCUUCAUUAAAGUGUUUCAUAUGCUGCUGCAUUAGUCACUCGUUAAAAUUAGCCUGAAUUCAAAGGUUUGUGCUCGUUAGGUGUUUUUGUGUAAUGUACAUUUAUUACUAUAGAAUUAAGGAGUUAGCUUCAUUUUCCUUCUAUCGUUUUCCAUUUUUUCUCAUGCUAAAUUAUUCAUAUAUAUCUGUAAAUGUUACAUUUUGCACAUGCUGGUAGGUUUCUGUCGACUCAAACAUCAUAAUCCAUGUACAAUAAUCCUGUAAUAUACAGUAGCAUUGAAAGAGUCCUCCGCCUCGCACAACUACUUAUUUGUACUGUUCAUAUUACAGUAUGAGCACAUUCUGCUCAUAAUUAUUCUGUACUUUUACGAAACUAAAAUUUUAAUAAUGUUGAGUUUUCUGACUCCUGCUGCCUCUUACAGUUAAAGUUAAAAUCUAGGACUUUCAUUGAAUCAAACCCAAUUUUUGAUAUUAUUUAUUGGCGUUUUUUUCAGCAAUAACUAGUAGUGGUGACCUAGAGGUUAGACAAGUGUGAGUAUCACGCUGUUUAUGCAAAAGAGAGGCUUCGUCUCAGUGAAGUUAGCAGAACAACAUUCAAUGCGGUCACAUUCUGUAAUCACUUUUUUAUAUAUACGCAGGAGCGACUGUGGCUAAGUGGAUAGCAGGCCGUCCUUCAAUCAGAGGGUCGGC